AGCAGCCGCGGUAAUUCCAGCUCCAAUAGCGUAUAUUAAAGUUGUUGCAGUUAAAAAGCUCGUAGUUGAAUUUCGGGAUCAAGGGAUCGGUCAUGCCUUGGUAUGUACUGGUCUUAUUGGUUCUCACCUUCUAAAGAACCAUGAUGUCAUUCAUUUGAUGUUAUGGGGAAUUAGGACUGUUACCUUGAAAAAAUUAGAGUGUUUAAAGCAAGCUUACGCUUGAAUACAUUAGCAUGGAAUAAUGAAAUAGGACAUCAGAUUCUAUUUUGUUGGUUUCU
This 278-nucleotide ribosomal RNA is filed under the name Glomeromycota sp. RNAcentral's name for it is "partial small subunit ribosomal RNA". It matches the Rfam family "Eukaryotic small subunit ribosomal RNA", at positions 569 to 853 of the family's 1831-position model. The record is from RNAcentral. Lineage: Eukaryota; Fungi; Glomeromycota.